GUAGGUGGCAAGCGUUGUCCAGAAUUAUUGGGCGUAAAGCGCGCGCAGGCGGUUCUUUAAGUCUGAUGUGAAAGCCCACGGCUCAACCGUGGAGGGUCAUUGGAAACUGGAGAACUUGAGUACAGAAGAGGAAAGCGGAAUUCCACGUGUAGCGGUGAAAUGCGUAGAGAUGUGGAGGAACACCAGUGGCGAAGGCGGCUUUCUGGUCUGUAACUGACGCUGAGGCGCGAAAGCGUGGGGGAGCAAACAGGAUUAGAUACCCUGGUAGUCCACGCCGUAAACGAUGAGUGCUAAGUGUUAGGGGGUUUCCGCCCCUUAGUGCUGCAGCUAACGCAUUAAGCACUCCGCCUGGGAGUACGGCCGCAAGGCUG
This 371-nucleotide ribosomal RNA is filed under the name uncultured organism. RNAcentral describes it as "partial 16S ribosomal RNA". It matches the Rfam family "Bacterial small subunit ribosomal RNA", at positions 527 to 896 of the family's 1533-position model. The record is from RNAcentral.